RNAcentral lists this unclassified non-coding RNA (297 nucleotides) under Hevea brasiliensis (rubber tree). Lineage: Eukaryota; Viridiplantae; Streptophyta; Magnoliopsida; Malpighiales; Euphorbiaceae. The record is from RNAcentral.
CGGCAUUCUGUCAACAUUUCCACUGAAUCACUUGGUAUGGCAAGUGAACGAAACCGAGGACCAAGGGCAUUAAAGCCAAAGAGCAAGGCUUCCAUUGAGGAUAGCUCGUCUUCUGUUAUUUGUAGAGAAGUUGAGUUAACUUCUAUUUUGCAGCCUGGCCAGUACAAUCGGCCUGAAUUUGUCACUGAUUAUGAGCAUGCUAAAUUCUUUGUCAUCAAGUCUUUCAGUGAAGAUAAUGUUCACAAAAGUAUCAAGUAUGGCGUCUGGGCUAGCACUCCUCAGGGAAAUAGAAGCUUG